CAAGUACUCCCUCCGUUCGGAAAUACUUGUCAUUGAAAUGAAUAUAUCUAGAUGUAUUUUAAUUUUAGAUACAUUCAUUUUUAUCCAUUUUGGCGACAAGUAAUUUCGGACGGAGGGAGUAGUAU
Non-coding RNA from Triticum aestivum (bread wheat), 125 nucleotides. The record is from Rfam. Lineage: Eukaryota; Viridiplantae; Streptophyta; Magnoliopsida; Poales; Poaceae.